Molecule: ribosomal RNA, 497 nt
Filed under: uncultured bacterium
Lineage: Bacteria
Description: partial 16S ribosomal RNA
Rfam family: Bacterial small subunit ribosomal RNA
Source: RNAcentral
GAUGAACGCUGGCGGCGUGCCUAAUACAUGCAAGUCGAGCGAACAGACGAGGAGCUUGCUCCUCUGACGUUAGCGGCGGACGGGUGAGUAACACGUGGAUAACCUACCUAUAAGACUGGGAUAACUUCGGGAAACCGGAGCUAAUCCCGGAUAAUAUAUUGAACCGCAUGGUUCAAUAGUGAAAGACGGUUUUGCUGUCACUUAUAGAUGGAUCCGCGCCGCAUUAGCUAGUUGGUAAGGUAACGGCUUACCAAGGCGACGAUGCGUAGCCGACCUGAGAGAGUGAUCGGCCGCACUAGAACUGAGACACGGUCCAGACUCCUAAGGGAGGCAGCAGUAGGGAAUCUUCCGCAAAGGGCGAAAGCCUGACGGAGCAACGCCGCGUGAGUGAUGAAGGUCUUCGGAUCGUAAAACUCUGUUAUGGGGGAAGAACAAAUGUGUAAGUAACUAUGCACGUCGUGACGGUACCUAAUCAGAAAGCCACGGCUAACUACGUG